CCGGCGCACGGGUGAGUAACACGUAUGCAAUCCACCUGUAACAGGGGGAUAACCCGGAGAAAUCCGGACUAAUACCCCGUAAUAUGGGCGCUCCGCAUGGAGAGCCCAUUAAAGAGAGCAAUUUUGGUUACAGACGAGCAUGCGCUCCAUUAGCCAGUUGGCGGGGUAACGGCCCACCAAAGCGACGAUGGAUAGGGGUUCUGAGAGGAAGGUCCCCCACAUUGGAACUGAGACACGGUCCAA
RNAcentral lists this ribosomal RNA (243 nucleotides) under uncultured bacterium. RNAcentral's name for it is "partial 16S ribosomal RNA". It matches the Rfam family "Bacterial small subunit ribosomal RNA", at positions 95 to 334 of the family's 1533-position model. The record is from RNAcentral.